CUGCCCUCAAGCACGGCUUGUGUGUUCGGGCCCCGUCCUCCGCGUCCCGGGGGACGGGCCCGAAAGGCAGCGGCGGCACCGCGUCCGGUCCUCGAGCGUAGUGGGGCUUUGUCACCCGCUCUGUACGGCCCGGCCGGCGCUUGCCGAUCAACCUAAACUUUUAUCCAGG
RNAcentral lists this unclassified non-coding RNA (169 nucleotides) under uncultured Penicillium. Its description in RNAcentral is "sequence contains ITS2". Lineage: Eukaryota; Fungi; Ascomycota; Eurotiomycetes; Eurotiales; Aspergillaceae. The record is from RNAcentral.